Molecule: ribosomal RNA, 497 nt
Filed under: uncultured bacterium
Lineage: Bacteria
Description: partial 16S ribosomal RNA
Rfam family: Bacterial small subunit ribosomal RNA
Source: RNAcentral
GAUGAACGCUGGCGGCGUGCCUAAUACAUGCAAGUCGAGCGAACAGACGCGGCGCUUGCUCCUCUGACGUUAGCGGCAGACGGGUGAAUAACACGUGGAUCCCCUCCCUGUCUGACUGGGAUCACUUCGGGAAACCGGCGCUAAUACCGGAUAAUAUCUUGCACCGCAUUGUUCAAUAGUAAAAGUCGGUUUUGCUGUCACUUCUCGCUGGAUCCGGGCGGCAUGAGCUAGUUGGUACGGUAAAGGGUUACCGAGGCAACCAUGCGUAGCCGACCUGACAGGGUGAUCGGCCACACUGGAACUGAGACACGGUCCAGACGACUACGAGAGGCAGCAGUAGGGAAUGGGCCGCAAUGGGCGAAAGUCUCACGGAGCAACGGCGCGCGAGUGAUGACGGUCUUCGGAGCGGAAUACUGUGUUAUGAGGGAAGAACAAAUGUGGAAGUAACUAUGCACGGCGUGACGGUACCUAAUCAGAAAGCCACGGCUAACUACGUG